Molecule: ribosomal RNA, 555 nt
Filed under: Umbilicaria havaasii
Lineage: Eukaryota; Fungi; Ascomycota; Lecanoromycetes; Umbilicariales; Umbilicariaceae
Description: eukaryotic LSU rRNA
Rfam family: Eukaryotic large subunit ribosomal RNA
Source: RNAcentral
UGACCUCGGAUCAGGUAGGGAUACCCGCUGAACUUAAGCAUAUCAAUAAGCGGAGGAAAAGAAACCAACAGGGAUUGCCUCAGUAACGGCGAGUGAAGCGGCAACAGCUCAAAUUUGAAAUCUGGCCGUUCGGCGGUCCGAGUUGUAAUUUGCAGAGGAUGCUUCGGGUGCGGCGUCGGUCUAAGUUCCUUGGAACAGGACGUCAUAGAGGGUGAGAAUCCCGUAUGUGACCGGCGACCCAGCCCGUGUGAAGCUCCUUCGACGAGUCGAGUUGUUUGGGAAUGCAGCUCUAAAUGGGUGGUAAAUUUCAUCUAAAGCUAAAUACCGGCCAGAGACCGAUAGCGCACAAGUAGAGUGAUCGAAAGAUGAAAAGCACUUUGGAAAGAGAGUUAAAAAGUACGUGAAAUUGUWGAAAGGGAAGCGCUUGCGWCCAGACUKGCUCACGGGUGAUCAGCCGUCCUUCUGGGCGGUGCACUCGCCCGCGAUCAGGCCAGCAUCGGUUCAGGCGGCCGGAUAAAGGCCCCGGGAAUGUGGCUCCCCCCGGGGAGUGUUAUA